UAAGUUAUUUCCUGUAAAGCAAAAGGUAAAGAAAAGAUGAACCGUAAAGAGAUGCUUCACUCAAAUAUAUUACUUUUUCACUGAAACUUUGGAAUAACUUCACUGAAAAAUGCAAUUCCUUAAGCUUAGAUGAAUAAUAACCCACAUAAGAAAUCAUGUCCAAAAUCACACCGAUCACAGGAACUCCAGAAAAUAUCAAGUUCUCCAAGGAAUUCAUGCUUAAUAUUCUCCCCAAAGUCUAAACAUAGCUUAUAUAGAACUAGCUCAGAAAAGCGUCAUGACCAGCAA
Molecule: unclassified non-coding RNA, 288 nt
Filed under: Hevea brasiliensis (rubber tree)
Lineage: Eukaryota; Viridiplantae; Streptophyta; Magnoliopsida; Malpighiales; Euphorbiaceae
Source: RNAcentral